GCUGGGCGUGGUGGCUCACACCUGUGGUCCCAGCUACUGGGAGGCUGAGGUGGGAAAAUCGCUUGAACCCAGGAGGUUGAGGCUGCAGUGAGCCAUGAUCACGCCACUGCACUCCCGUCUGGGUGACAGAGUGAGACCCUGCCUCCA
This 147-nucleotide small RNA is filed under the name Pongo abelii (Sumatran orangutan). Its description in RNAcentral is "Metazoan signal recognition particle RNA (ENSPPYG00000037715.1)". The record is from Rfam by way of RNAcentral. Lineage: Eukaryota; Metazoa; Chordata; Mammalia; Primates; Hominidae.